This 69-nucleotide transfer RNA is filed under the name Novacerus sp. FZ-2019. Its description in RNAcentral is "tRNA-His". The record is from RNAcentral. Lineage: Eukaryota; Metazoa; Arthropoda; Collembola; Entomobryomorpha; Tomoceridae.
AUUAGGAUAUUUUAAAUUAAAAUUUAAGCUUGUGGAGCUUAGGAUAACCUAUUAAUGGGUUUUCUAAUA